Molecule: long non-coding RNA, 365 nt
Filed under: Carica papaya (papaya)
Lineage: Eukaryota; Viridiplantae; Streptophyta; Magnoliopsida; Brassicales; Caricaceae
Description: long non-coding RNA (CPAP_LNC005946)
Source: RNAcentral
CUCAGUUUUUGCCUCCGAUGAAGCCCUUUCUGACCUCCGUUUGAUGCAAUUUUUAUAUCACCGUGAUCACCAUUCUUUUCUCUACAGGUUGAUCGGAGCCGAAUCACCAAAACACGAACCUCGCCGGAGAGCCGCCGCACCCGAGAGCACCGCCGCCGGUAAGCUUCAGUUUUUCGUAAUUUUUUGGCCCCCCGGGGGCCCUAGGGUUGUUUUAUCACAGGGACCGAUGUAAGUGUGGCCGAAUUCGGCCAGAAACGGCCGAAAACGGCCAACCCGAGGCGAAUCGCCGCCGCAAGCGGCGGCGCCGUCGCCGGAGCAAGGCGGAGCCGCCGUGCUGGAAUUGCGAUAUUGGCCGAAAGGGGCCC